GAGGAAGUAAAAGUCGUAACAAGGUUUCCGUAGGUGAACCUGCGGAAGGAUCAUUAUUGAAAUAAACCUGAUAAGUUGUUGCUGGUUCUCUAGGGAGCAUGUGCACACUUGUCAUCUUUGUAUCUCCACCUGUGCACCUUUUGUAGACCUUGGGUAUCUCUCUGAUUGCUUUAGCAACUCAGGAUUGAGGAUUGACUUUCUGUCUCUUCUUACAUUUCCAGGCCUAUGUUUUUCAAAUACCCUAAUGUAUGUUUAUAGAAUGUAAUCAAAUAGGCCUUYGUGCCAAUAAAUUGAUACAACUUUCAGCAACGGAUCUCUUGGCUCUCGCAUCGAUGAAGAACGCAGCGAAAUGCGAUAAGUAAUGUGAAUUGCAGAAUUCAGUGAAUCAUCGAAUCUUUGAACGCACCUUGCGCUCCUUGGUAUUCCGAGGAGCAUGCCUGUUUGAGUGUCAUUAAUAUAUCAACCUYUUUUUUUKGGUUGGAUGUGGGUUUGCUGGCCACUUUGGAGGUCAGCUCUCCUUAAAUGCAUUAGCGGACAAUAUUUUGCCAAACGUUUCAUUGGUGUGAUAAUUAUCUACACUAUUGACGUGAAGCAAGGUUCAGCUUCUAACAGUCCA
RNAcentral lists this ribosomal RNA (616 nucleotides) under Calonarius elegantiomontanus. RNAcentral's name for it is "eukaryotic LSU rRNA". The stretch from base 298 to 451 matches the Rfam family "5.8S ribosomal RNA". Lineage: Eukaryota; Fungi; Basidiomycota; Agaricomycetes; Agaricales; Cortinariaceae. The record is from RNAcentral.